RNAcentral lists this long non-coding RNA (401 nucleotides) under Elaeis guineensis (African oil palm). Its description in RNAcentral is "long non-coding RNA (EGUI_LNC010599)". Lineage: Eukaryota; Viridiplantae; Streptophyta; Magnoliopsida; Arecales; Arecaceae. The record is from RNAcentral.
CUGAUCUGAGUCAAAAUUAGGCAAAUCUAAAGCAAAAACAAGUCUAAACUGAGGUAAAUAACAGAAAAGAGUCAAGCAAAACCCAAAGACUUUCAAACAAAAAGAACUCUCAUGGUAAGAGAAUCUGAAGCCCCUUCCACUAUUUUAUUUCCUCCCCUUCUUGCAGGACAAUAGGUCUUUGAAGCACAUGAGCCAAGAUAAAAAUUAAACAAGGCCACCUAAGGAUGAGGUGAAGACUAAGUUGAGGUAAAAACAACCCAAAGCCAAUGUCAUCAGAGGGCCAACCUCACAAAACCAGCCUCAAAAGGUCAAUAUCACUAGAAGUCUAAGGUCAUCAAAAGACUAACCUAAGCAAACUAAGGUCGAGCUAUCAAGUAAAAAGCCAACAACUGAAAGGAAGG